UGGGGAAUAUUGGGCAAUGGGCGAAAGCCUGACCCAGCAACGCCGCGUGAAGGAAGAAGGUUUUCGGAUUGUAAACUUCUUUUAUCAGGGACGAAGAAAGUGACGGUACCUGAUGAAUAAGCCACGGCUAACUACGUGCCAGCAGCCGCGGUAAUACGUAGGUGGCAAGCGUUAUCCGGAUUUACUGGGUGUAAAGGGCGCGUAGGCGGGGAUGCAAGUCAGAUGUGAAAUCUAUGGGCUUAACCCAUAAACUGCAUUUGAAACUGUAUCUCUUGAGUGUCGGAGAGGUAGACGGAAUUCCUAGUGUAGCGGUGAAAUGCGUAGAUAUUAGGAGGAACACCAGUGGCGAAGGCGGUCUACUGGACGAUAACUGACGCUGAGGCGCGAAAGCGUGGGGAGCAAACAGGGAUUAGAUACCCUGGUA
Molecule: ribosomal RNA, 424 nt
Filed under: uncultured Oscillospiraceae bacterium
Lineage: Bacteria; Bacillati; Bacillota; Clostridia; Eubacteriales; Oscillospiraceae
Description: bacterial SSU rRNA
Rfam family: Bacterial small subunit ribosomal RNA
Source: RNAcentral